Molecule: ribosomal RNA, 253 nt
Filed under: uncultured bacterium
Lineage: Bacteria
Description: partial 16S ribosomal RNA
Rfam family: Bacterial small subunit ribosomal RNA
Source: RNAcentral
GACAGAGGGUGCAACCGUUGUUCGGAAUUACUGGGCGUAAAGCGUGUGUAGGCGGUCUCAUAAGUCGGGUGUGAAAGCCCAGGGCUCAACCCUGGAAGUGCACUCGAAACUGCGAGGCUUGAGUACCGGAGAGGUUGGUGGAAUUCUCGGUGUAGAGGUGAAAUUCGUAGAUAUCGAGAGGAACACCGGUGGCGAAGGCGGCUUUCUGGCCUGUUCUUGACGCUGAGGCGCGAAAGCUAGGGGAGCGAACGGG